This 73-nucleotide transfer RNA is filed under the name Felis catus (domestic cat). It matches the Rfam family "tRNA". From Rfam's summary of the family: Transfer RNA (tRNA) molecules are approximately 80 nucleotides in length. Their secondary structure includes four short double-helical elements and three loops (D, anti-codon, and T loops). Further hydrogen bonds mediate the characteristic L-shaped molecular structure. tRNAs have two regions of fundamental functional importance: the anti-codon, which is responsible for specific mRNA codon recognition, and the 3' end, to which the tRNAs corresponding amino acid is attached (by aminoacyl-tRNA synthetases). tRNAs cope with the degeneracy of the genetic code in two manners: having more than one tRNA (with a specific anti-codon) for a particular amino acid; and 'wobble' base-pairing, i.e. permitting non-standard base-pairing at the 3rd anti-codon position. The record is from Rfam by way of RNAcentral. Lineage: Eukaryota; Metazoa; Chordata; Mammalia; Carnivora; Felidae.
ACCCAACUGGCUCAGUUGUUGGAGCAUGUGACUCUUGAUCUCAAGGUUGUGCGUUCAAGCCCCACGUUGGGUG